Molecule: long non-coding RNA, 1858 nt
Filed under: Volvox carteri
Lineage: Eukaryota; Viridiplantae; Chlorophyta; Chlorophyceae; Chlamydomonadales; Volvocaceae
Description: long non-coding RNA (VCAR_LNC003226)
Source: RNAcentral
AGGGGUGUCGCGGAGUCGACGCUAGGAAGGCCGGAGGGCCCAAAAGGGGUGUCGCGGAGUCGACGCUAGGAAGGCCGGAGGGCCCAAAGGGGUGUCGCGGAGUCGACGUUAGGAAGGCCGGGAGGCCUAAAGGGGUGUCGCGGAGUCGACGUUAGGAAGGCCGGAGGGCCCAAAAGGGAUGUCGCGGAGUCGACGAUAGGAAGGCCGGAGGGCCCAAAAGGGGUGUCACGGAGUCGACGAUAGGAAGGCCGGAGGGCCCAAAAGGGUUGUCACGGCGUCGACGAUAGGAAGGCCGGAGGGCCCAAAAGGGGUGUCGCGGAGUCGACGCUAGGAAGGCCGGAGGGCCCAAAAGGGUUGUCGCGGAGUCGACGCUAGGAAGGCCGGAGGGCCCAAAAGGGGUGUCGCGGAGUCGACGCUAGGAAGGCCGGAGGGCCCAAAAGGGGUGUCGCGGAGUCGACGCUAGGAAGGCCGGAGGGCCCAAAGGGGUGUCGCGGAGUCGACGUUAGGAAGGCCGGAGGGCCCAAAAGGGGUGUCACGGAGUCGACGAUAGGAAGGCCGGAGGGCCCAAAGGGGUGUCGCGGCGUCGACGAUAGGAAGGCCGGAGGGCCCAGAAGGGGUGUCGCGGAGUCGACGCUAGGAAGGCCGGAGGGCCCAAAGGGGUGUCGCGGAGUCGUCGUUAGGAGGGCCGGGAGGCCCAAAAGGGGUGUCGCGGAGUCGACGAUAGGAAGGCCGGAGGGCCCAAAAGGGAUGUCGCGGAGUCGACGAUAGGAAGGCCGGAGGGCCCAAAAGGGGUGUCACGGAGUCGACGCUAGGAAGGCCGGAGGGCCUGAAAGGGGUGUCGCGGAGUUGACGCUAGGAAGGCCGGAGGGCCCAAAAGGGGUGUUGCGGAGUCGUCGAUAGGAAGGCCGGAGGGCCCAAAAGGGGUGUCGCGGAGUCGACGAUAGGAAGGCCGGGAGGCCCAAAAGGGUUGUCGCGGCGUCGACGCUAGGAAGGCCGGAGGGCCCAAAAGGGGUGUCGCGGAGUCGACGCUAGGAAGGCCGGAGGGCCCAAAAGGGGUGUCGCGGAGUCGACGCUAGGAAGGCCGGAGGGCCCAAAAGGGAUGUCGCGGAGUCGACGAUAGGAAGGCCGGAGGGCCCAAAAGGGGUGUCGCGGAGUCGACGAUAGGAAGGCCGGAGGGCCCAAAGGGGUGUCGCGGAGUCGACGAUAGGAAGGCCGGAGGGCCCAAAGGGGUGUCGCGGAGUCGACGCUAGGAGGGCCGGGAGCCUGAAGGGGUGUCGCGGAGUCGACGCUAGGAAGGCCGGAGGGCCCAAAAGGGAUGUCGCGGAGUCGACGAUAGGAAGGCCGGAGGGCCCAAAAGGGGUGUCGCGGAGUCGACGAUAGGAAGGCCGGAGGGCCCAAAAGGGGUGUCGCGGAGUCGACGAUAGGAAGGCCGGAGGGCCCAAAAGGGGUGUCGCGGAGUCGACGAUAGGAAGGCCGGAGGGCCCAAAGGGGUGUCGCGGAGUCGACGAUAGGAACGCCGGAGGGCCCAAAAGGGGUGUUGCGGAGUCGACGUUAGGAAGGCCGGAGGGCCCAAAAGGGGUGUCGCGGAGUUGACAAUAGGAAGGCCGGAGGGCCCAAAAGGGUUGUCACGGCGUCGACGAUAGGAAGGCCGGAGGGCCCAAAAGGGGUGUCACGGAGUCGACGAUAGGAAGGCCGGAGGGCCCAAAAGGGGUGUCGCGGAGUCGACGCUAGGAAGGCCGGAGGGCCCAAAAGGGAUGUCGCGGAGUCGACGAUAGGAAGGCCGGAGGGCCCAAAGGGGUGUCGCGGAGUCGACGCUAGGAAGGCCGGAGGGCCCAAAGGGGUGUCGCGGAGUCGACGU